Molecule: ribosomal RNA, 496 nt
Filed under: uncultured bacterium
Lineage: Bacteria
Description: partial 16S ribosomal RNA
Rfam family: Bacterial small subunit ribosomal RNA
Source: RNAcentral
GACGAACGCUGGCGGCGUGCCUAAUACAUGCAAGUUGAGCGAUGAAGAUUGGUGCUUGCACCAAUUUGAAGAGCAGCGAACGGGUGAGUAACGCGUGGGGAAUCUGCCUUUGAGCGGGGGACAACAUUUGGAAACGAAUGCUAAUACCGCAUAACAACUUUAAACAUAAGUUUUAAGUUUGAAAGAUGCAAUUGCAUCACUCAAAGAUGAUCCCGCGUUGUAUUAGCUAGUUGGUGAGGUAAAGGCUCACCAAGGCGAUGAUACAUAGCCGACCUGAGAGGGUGAUCGGCCACAUUGGGACUGAGACACGGCCCAAACUCCUACGGGAGGCAGCAGUAGGGAAUCUUCGGCAAUGGACGAAAGUCUGACCGAGCAACGCCGCGUGAGUGAAGAAGGUGUUCGGAUCGUAAAACUCUGUUGGUAGAGAAGAACGUUGGUGAGAGUGGAAAGCUCAUCAAGUGACGGUAACGACCCAGAAAGGGACGGCUAACUACGU